This 440-nucleotide ribosomal RNA is filed under the name uncultured bacterium. RNAcentral's name for it is "bacterial SSU rRNA". It matches the Rfam family "Bacterial small subunit ribosomal RNA", at positions 958 to 1397 of the family's 1533-position model. The record is from RNAcentral.
AACGCGAAGAACCUUACCUACCCUUGACAUACAGUGGAUUAUCUAGAGAUGGAUAAGUGCCUUCGGGAACACUGAUACAGGUGCUGCAUGGCUGUCGUCAGCUCGUGUCGUGAGAUGUUGGGUUAAGUCCCGUAACGAGCGCAACCCUUAUUCUUAGUUACCAGUGCGUGAUGGCGGGGACUCUAAGGAGACUGCCGGUGACAAACCGGAGGAAGGCGGGGACGACGUCAAGUCAUCAUGGCCCUUACGGGUAGGGCUACACACGUGCUACAAUGGCCAGUACAGAGGGGAGCGAGAGCGAGAGUUUAAGCGAAUCUUAUAAAGCUGGUCGUAGUCCGGAUUGAAGUCUGCAACUCGACUUCAUGAAGUCGGAAUCGCUAGUAAUCGCGAAUCAGCAUGUCGCGGUGAAUACGUUCCCGGGCCUUGUACACACCGGCUAC